RNAcentral lists this ribosomal RNA (483 nucleotides) under uncultured bacterium. RNAcentral's name for it is "partial 16S ribosomal RNA". It matches the Rfam family "Bacterial small subunit ribosomal RNA", at positions 30 to 507 of the family's 1533-position model. The record is from RNAcentral.
UUGCACGCUGGCGGCAGGCCUAACACAUGCAAGUCGAGCGGAUGAAGGGAGCUUGCUCCUGGAUUCAGCGGCGGACGGGUGAGUAAUGCCUAGGAAUCUGCCUGGUAGUGGGGGAUAACGUCCGGAAACGGGCGCUAAUACCGCAUACGUCCUGAGGGAGAAAGUGGGGGAUCUUCGGACCUCACGCUAUCAGAUGAGCCUAGGUCGGAUUAGCUAGUUGGUGGGGUAAAGGCCUACCAAGGCGACGAUCCGUAACUGGUCUGAGAGGAUGGUCAGUCACACUGGAACUGAGACACGGUCCAGACUCCUACGGGAGGCAGCAGUGGGGAAUAUUGGACAAUGGGCGAAAGCCUGAUCCAGCCAUGCCGCGUGUGUGAAGAAGGUCUUCGGAUUGUAAAGCACUUUAAGUUGGGAGGAAGGGCAGUAAGUUAAUACCUUGCUGUUUUGACGUUACCAACAGAAUAAGCACCGGCUAACUUCGUG